This 334-nucleotide unclassified non-coding RNA is filed under the name soil metagenome. Its description in RNAcentral is "partial contains 5.8S ribosomal RNA, internal transcribed spacer 2, and large subunit ribosomal RNA". The stretch from base 1 to 120 matches the Rfam family "5.8S ribosomal RNA", at positions 35 to 154 of the family's 154-position model. The record is from RNAcentral.
GAUGAAGAACGUAGCGAAAUGCGAUAAGUAAUGUGAAUUGCAGAAUUCAGUGAAUCAUCGAAUCUUUGAACGCACAUUGCGCCCCCCAGUAUUCUGGCGGGCAUGCCUGUUCGAGCGUCAUUUCAACCAUCAAGCCCUGCUUGUGUUGGGGUCCUGCGGCUGCCCGCAGGCCCUGAGAACCAGUGGCGGGCUCGCUAGUCACACCGAGCGCAGUAGCACAUCUCGCUCAGGGCGUGCGGCGGGCUCCAGCCGUUAAAGCACCCACCUUUCGCAAGGUUGACCUCGGAUCAGGUAGGAAUACCCGCUGAACUUAAGCAUAUCAAUAAGCGGAGGA